This is a non-coding RNA of Myotis davidii, 35 nucleotides long. NCBI's taxonomy places the organism in Eukaryota, Metazoa, Chordata, Mammalia, Chiroptera, Vespertilionidae. The record is from Rfam.
CUGUCUCUUGCUUCAACAGUGUUUGGACUGAACCG